Molecule: ribosomal RNA, 253 nt
Filed under: uncultured bacterium
Lineage: Bacteria
Description: partial 16S ribosomal RNA
Rfam family: Bacterial small subunit ribosomal RNA
Source: RNAcentral
UACGUAGGGUGCGAGCGUUAAUCGGAAUUACUGGGCGUAAAGCGUGCGCAGGCGGUUUUGUAAGCCAGAUGUGAAAUCCCCGGGCUUAACCUGGGAAUGGCAUUUGGGACUGCAAGGCUUGAGUGCGGCAGAGGAGACUGGAAUUCCUGGUGUAGCAGUGAAAUGCGUAGAUAUCAGGAGGAACACCGGUGGCGAAGGCGGGUCUCUGGGACGGUACUGACGCUGAGGAGCGAAAGCGUGGGGAGCAAACAGG